GCAUGAGAAAAAAUCACCAUCCACAACACAAGUUUGGCUUUCACACUGUUUGAAACAGAAAUAAAAACACCUUGUUGGAAUCGAAAAACUACUUUUGCUUCCCUAUACAAAAAUAAAAAAAUAAAAAAAAUUCAAAGGAUUAUCCUCAAAUCAAUUACUUUAGCUCCCUUCUCAUGUGAACUAAACAAGUGGAGCCUCAGUCAACAAGGCCCUUCUCCAAACUAAAAGGAAUUUCACAUCCAAAUUUGUUGCAAGAAAGAAAAGCAAUGGAAGAUCAAAGUCAUAUGGCAACUGGGGAACUUUCAAUAGCCAUGUUGAAAGGAGUUUACUUUCUUCCAUGGAGGCUCCCACAAAUUGACUGCUGUUGCUGGGUCACAAUUGACAUUAGCUUUCGACCGCUUCUAUUAAGAAAUGCUUUCUUUAAAGAAGUUCAACACUAUGAAGUCGCACAUCACAUGCUUGCCUGAAUGCUCACGCCAAAAAUUUUCUCAUUGUAUGGCUACAUUAACGACACAUGAUAUUUUGCAACCUUCGGGAAAGGCCGGUGUUGCAACCAUCAGUACUCCGCAAUAAGAUAACCAAGACCCAUAGCUCGUGGUUAUCUUAUUAUCAGAGAUAGCAUU
This 623-nucleotide long non-coding RNA is filed under the name Olea europaea (common olive). Its description in RNAcentral is "long non-coding RNA (OEUR_LNC002216)". The record is from RNAcentral. Lineage: Eukaryota; Viridiplantae; Streptophyta; Magnoliopsida; Lamiales; Oleaceae.